Long non-coding RNA from Microtus oregoni (creeping vole), 429 nucleotides. RefSeq lists it as uncharacterized. The record is from RefSeq and is a predicted model, not a curated record. Lineage: Eukaryota; Metazoa; Chordata; Mammalia; Rodentia; Cricetidae. The transcript is spliced from 3 exons.
GAGAAACUUAAUUACCAUUUAAAGUUGUUCCGAAGGGAGCUCUGCCUGUGGUUUAGCUCUGCCUCUGAGCCUUACAUGUCACAGUCUAUCGUGGAGGGAAGUCAGACUUGGACUUCAGACAGAAGCCUGAGGCAGGAACUGAAGCUGAAACGGUGGGAAAAUGCUGCUUGCUGGCUUGCCAGAGGAGCAAAGGUUCCUGAAAGCUGUGUAAGCCAUGCAAACAGCAGCAGGACUUAAAGGCUCAAGGAAGCUGAGUGGACCACUAGAUCUUACCAUGUUGUGCUUCUGGGUAGCAGAGCAAUCCUCGGGAGUGCUGAGCGACCUCCAUAAACACCAAGUGACCUCUGGGGUGACAGGAACCGUGGCCCUGACUGCACCAUGAAGAGCAAACAUCUGAGUCUUGGAUCUGCUGGCACCUGGAAGAUUGAU